GGGCAAUGCGGGGUGCUAUAAUGCAGUCGACGCACAGCGAAAGGUGCUUGCACCUUUCAAGUGAGUGGCGAACGGGUGAGUAACACGUGGACAACCUGCCUCAAGGCUGGGGAUAACAUUUGGAAACAGAUGCUAAUACCGAAUGAAACUUAGUGUCGCAUGAUACGAAGUUAAAAGGCGCUUUGGCGUCACCUAGAGAUGGAUCCGCGGUGCAUUAGUUAGUUGGUGGGGUAAAGGCCUACCAAGACAAUGAUGCAUAGCCGAGUUGAGAGACUGAUCGGCCACAUUGGGACUGAGACACGGCCCAAACUCCUACGGGAGGCUGCAGUAGGGAAUCUUCCACAAUGGGCGAAAGCCUGAUGGAGCAACGCCGCGUGUGUGAUGAAGGCUUUCGGGUCGUAAAGCACUGUUGUAUGGGAAGAACAGCUAGAAUAGGGAAUGAUUUUAGUUUGACGGUACCAUACCAGAAAGGGACGGCUAAAUACGUGCCAGCAGCCGCGGUAAUACGUAUGUCCCGAGCGUUAUCCGGAUUUAUUGGGCGUAAAGCGAGCGCAGACGGUUGAUUAAGUCUGAUGUGAAAGCCCGGAGCUCAACUCCGGAAUGGCAUUGGAAACUGGUUAACUUGAGUGCAGUAGAGGUAAGUGGAACUCCAUGUGUAGCGGUGGAAUGCGUAGAUAUAUGGAAGAACACCAGUGGCGAAGGCGGCUUACUGGACUGUAACUGACGUUGAGGCUCGAAAGUGUGGGUAGCAAACAGGAUUAGAUACCCUGGUAGUCCACACCGUAAACGAUGAACACUAGGUGUUAGGAGGUUUCCGCCUCUUAGUGCCGAAGCUAACGCAUUAAGUGUUCCGCCUGGGGAGUACGACCGCAAGGUUGAAACUCAAAGGAAUUGACGGGGACCCGCACAAGCGGUGGAGCAUGUGGUUUAAUUCGAAGCAACGCGAAGAGCCUUACCAGGUCUUGACAUCCUUUGAAGCUUUUAGAGAUAGAAGUGUUCUCUUCGGAGACAAAGUGACAGGUGGUGCAUGGUCGUCGUCAGCUCGUGUCGUGAGAUGUUGGGUUAAGUCCCGCACGAGCGCAACCCUUAUGUUAGUUGCCAGCAUUCAGAUGGGCACUCUAGGCGGAGACUGCCGGUGACC
RNAcentral lists this ribosomal RNA (1141 nucleotides) under Leuconostoc pseudomesenteroides. RNAcentral describes it as "bacterial SSU rRNA". It matches the Rfam family "Bacterial small subunit ribosomal RNA", at positions 31 to 1160 of the family's 1533-position model. The record is from RNAcentral. Lineage: Bacteria; Bacillati; Bacillota; Bacilli; Lactobacillales; Lactobacillaceae.